This 832-nucleotide ribosomal RNA is filed under the name uncultured bacterium. RNAcentral describes it as "SSU rRNA". It matches the Rfam family "Bacterial small subunit ribosomal RNA", at positions 557 to 1381 of the family's 1533-position model. The record is from RNAcentral.
GGCUUAACGUGUGCGUAGGCGGGCGUGUAAGCAUCUUGUGAAAGCCCCCGGCUCAACCGGGGAAUUGCUUGGUGAACUGCACGUCUUGAGGCAAGUAGAGGUGGUCGGAACGAUAGGUGGAGCGGUGAAAUGCGUAGAUAUCUAUCGGAACGCCAACGGAGAAGUCAGGCCACUGGGCUUGUUCUGACGCUGAGGCACGAAAGCGUGGGUAGCGAACGGGAUUAGAUACCCCGGUAGUCCACGCCGUAAACGAUGCGCACUAGGUCGAGGAGGUUUGACGCCCUCUUGGCCGAAGCAAAAGUGUUAAGUGCGCCGCCUGGGGAGUACGGUCGCAAGGCUAAAACUCAAAGGAAUUGACGGGGGCUCACGCAAGCGGUGGAGCAUGUGGCUUAAUUCGAAGCAACGCGAAGAACCUUAUCCAGGGUUUGACAUGCACGGAUCAACCCCAUGAAAGUGGGGCCACACCCGCAGGGGCGGAACGUGCACAGGUGCUGCAUGGCUGUCGUCAGCUCGUGCUGUGAAGUGUCGGGUUAAGUCCCUCAACGAGCGAAACCCCUGUCGCUAGUUACCAUCAGGUAAUGCUGGGGACUCUAGCGAGACUGCCGGUGUCAAACCGGAGGAAGGUGGGGAUGACGUCAAGUCCUCAUGGCCUUUAUGCCCUGGGCUGCACACGUGCUACAAUGGUGGGUACAAAACGAUGCAAGACCGCGAGGUGGAGCAAAUCGCCAAAACCCGCCCCAGUUCGGAUUGCAGGCUGCAACUCGCCUGCAUGAAGCCGGAAUCGCUAGUAAUCGCGGAUCAGCUACGCCGCGGUGAAUACGUUCCUGAGCCU